UGGGGAAUUUUGGACAAUGGGGGAAACCCUGAUCCAGCCAUCCCGCGUGUGCGAUGAAGGCCUUCGGGUUGUAAAGCACUUUUGGCAGGAAAGAAACGUCGCGGGUUAAUACCCCGCGAAACUGACGGUACCUGCAGAAUAAGCACCGGCUAACUACGUGCCAGCAGCCGCGGUAAUACGUAGGGUGCAAGCGUUAAUCGGAAUUACUGGGCGUAAAGCGUGCGCAGGCGGUUCGGAAAGAAAGAUGUGAAAUCCCAGAGCUUAACUUUGGAACUGCAUUUUUAACUACCGGGCUAGAGUUGUCAGAGGGAGGUGGAAUUCCGCGUGUAGCAGUGAAAUGCGUAGAUAUGCGGAGGAACACCGAUGGCGAAGGCAGCCUCCUGGGAUAACACUGACGCUCAUGCACGAAAAGCGUGGGGAGCAAACAGGAUUAGAUACCCCUGGUAGUCCACGCCCUAAAACGAUGUCAACUAGCUGUUGGGGGCCUUCGGGCCUUGGUAGCGCAGCUAACGCAUUAAGUU
Molecule: ribosomal RNA, 521 nt
Filed under: uncultured bacterium
Lineage: Bacteria
Description: partial 16S ribosomal RNA
Rfam family: Bacterial small subunit ribosomal RNA
Source: RNAcentral